ACACUGGACAGCGUCCACGCCUUCCAAAACGACAUCCAUACCCAUUGACCGAAUAAAAAGUAAAUUUGAACUUGUGGGUCUGUAAUUAGAGCCAUUUUAAAAUCGAAAUGUCACUUUUUUAGGCAAAUUCUCGUGCGGCAACUGAUUUUUUAGGAGUUCAACUCCACGUACAACAGUAAAUGAUACAUGUAUCUGUUCGUUAAAGUAUUCACCAC
This 215-nucleotide long non-coding RNA is filed under the name Mytilus galloprovincialis (Mediterranean mussel). Lineage: Eukaryota; Metazoa; Mollusca; Bivalvia; Mytilida; Mytilidae. The record is from RNAcentral.